AGAGUUUGAUCCUGGCUCAGAACGAACGCUGGCGGCGCGCCUAACACAUGCAAGUCGAACGCGAAAGGGAGCAAUCCUGAGUAAAGUGGCGCACGGGUGAGUAACGCGUAGGUGAUCUACCUCUGUGACUGGGAUAACCAGCCGAAAGGUUGGCUAAUACUAGAUAGAGCGCAGAUGUCAUAAUGACAUUUGCGGGAAAU
Molecule: ribosomal RNA, 200 nt
Filed under: uncultured bacterium
Lineage: Bacteria
Description: partial 16S ribosomal RNA
Rfam family: Bacterial small subunit ribosomal RNA
Source: RNAcentral